UACGAAGGGGGCUAGCGUUGCUCGGAAUUACUGGGCGUAAAGCGCACGUAGGCGGUUUCUUAAGUCGGUGGUGAAAUCCUGGAGCUCAACUCCAGAACUGCCUUCGAUACUGGGAAACUUGAGUCCGGGAGAGGUGAGUGGAACUGCGAGUGUAGAGGUGAAAUUCGUAGAUAUUCGCAAGAACACCAGUGGCGAAGGCGGCUCACUGGCCCGGUACUGACGCUGAGGUGCGAAAGCGUGGGGAGCGAACAGG
RNAcentral lists this ribosomal RNA (253 nucleotides) under uncultured bacterium. Its description in RNAcentral is "partial 16S ribosomal RNA". It matches the Rfam family "Bacterial small subunit ribosomal RNA", at positions 524 to 776 of the family's 1533-position model. The record is from RNAcentral.